RNAcentral lists this ribosomal RNA (351 nucleotides) under uncultured bacterium. RNAcentral's name for it is "bacterial SSU rRNA". It matches the Rfam family "Bacterial small subunit ribosomal RNA", at positions 71 to 422 of the family's 1533-position model. The record is from RNAcentral.
AAGUGGGGGCAACCCUGCGAGUAGAGUGGCGAACGGGUGAGUAAUACAUCGGAACGUACCCAGGAGUGGGGGACAACCUCGAGAAAUCGAGGCUAAUACCGCAUACGUCCUGAGGGAGAAAGCGGGGGAUCCAUAAGGACCUCGCGCUCAUGGAGCGGCCGAUGUCGGAUUAGCUAGUUGGCGGGGUAAAAGCCCACCAAGGCUACGAUCCGUAGCUGGUUUGAGAGAACGACCAGCCACACUGGGACUGAGACACGGCCCAGACUCCUACGGGAGGCAGCAGUGGGGAAUUUUGGACAAUGGGGGCAACCCUGAUCCAGCCAUGCCGCGUGAGUGAAGAAGGCCUUCGGG